Molecule: long non-coding RNA, 274 nt
Organism: Vicia villosa (hairy vetch)
Lineage: Eukaryota; Viridiplantae; Streptophyta; Magnoliopsida; Fabales; Fabaceae
Exons: 3
Source: RefSeq, a predicted model, not a curated record
CAAAAAUUUGUGAAAAUAAUGAAUGCAACACAGGGUUCCCUAAUGGUUGCAUCGACCAUGCAGAUGGUUCUUGGAUCCACUGGCGGUUGGCGCCAUGUAGUCAGGUUUUUGAGUCCUCUCUCUACUAUUCUCUUAGUUUCUCUAUCAGGUUUUGGCCUAUAUCGGUUCGGUUUUUCCAUGCUCGUAUGAUGUGUCGAGAUUGGACAACCUGAGCUUGUAGUACUACUGAUAUUCACGCAGGUUCAUUUGUAUUCUUACUUUUACUUAAUUUUUU